CCUACGGGUGGCAGCAGUAGGGAAUUUUCGGCAAUGGGGGGAACCCUGACCGAGCAACGCCGCGUGAAGGAAGAAGGAAUUCGUUCUGGAAACUUCUGGUAUAAAGGAAGAAAGACGGAUGGAGGAAAUGACAUCCGAGUGACGGUACUUUAUGAGAAAGCCACGGCUAACUACGUGCCAGCACCCGCGGAAAUACGUAGGUGGCAAGCGUUAUCCGGAUUUAUUGGGCGUAAGGAGGGAGCAGGCGGCAGCAAAGGUCUGUGGGAAAAGGCUGAAGCUUAACUUCAGUAAGCCAAAGAAACCGGGCAGCUAGAGUGGAGGAGGGGAACGUGGAAUUCCAUGUGUAGCGGUGAAAUGCGUAGAUA
RNAcentral lists this ribosomal RNA (365 nucleotides) under uncultured bacterium. Its description in RNAcentral is "partial 16S ribosomal RNA". It matches the Rfam family "Bacterial small subunit ribosomal RNA", at positions 338 to 696 of the family's 1533-position model. The record is from RNAcentral.